This 536-nucleotide ribosomal RNA is filed under the name Trigonopterus sp. 158 AR-2022a. RNAcentral describes it as "partial large subunit ribosomal RNA". It matches the Rfam family "Bacterial large subunit ribosomal RNA", at positions 1819 to 2625 of the family's 2925-position model. Lineage: Eukaryota; Metazoa; Arthropoda; Insecta; Coleoptera; Curculionidae. The record is from RNAcentral.
GGCUUGUUGAUUAUAAUUUCAGGUCUAACCUGCCCAAUGAUUAAUUAAAUGGCCGCGGUAUAUUGACUGUGCAAAGGUAGCAUAAUCAUUAGUUUUUUAAUUGAAAGCUUGUAUGAAAGGUUUGAUGAGAGAAUUUCUGUCUCUGUAAAAAUUAAUUAGAAUUUUAUUUUUAAGUAAAAAAGCUUAAAUUUACAUAGAAGACGAGAAGACCCUAUAGAGUUUUAUUUUUUUAAUUAAAGAGAGAUUUAAAGAUAAAAAAUUUAAUUUAGUUAAAAAUGUUUUGUUGGGGCGAUAGAAAAAUUUAAUUAACUUUUUUUUGUAUAGGUACAUUUAUUUAUGGGUGGUUGAUCCUAAAAUUUUGAUUAUAAGAAUAAAUUACCUUAGGGAUAACAGCGUGAUUUUUUUUAGAGUUCUUAUCGAAAAAAAAGUUUGCGACCUCGAUGUUGGAUUAAAAUUUAUUGUUGGUGAAGGAGCUAAUAUAUUAGGUCUGUUCGACCUUUAAAAUUUUACAUGAUCUGAGUUUAGACCGGCGUGAG